GGGGGAGCCGCCGGAGGGCAGCUGGGGCUGCGGAAUUUUGGAAGCGCAGAAGUUUUCUCCUCCUGUCCUGUAACUGGUUUUCACUCACUCAACUGAGAGAUUUCUUUGUUGCAAUGAUGGGGUCUAAGAUAACACUUCUGGAGGCUGCAGGCGAGAAACACAGCUGAUAUCAUCUUUUAUUGUGUGUUGUUAUUUGCCUAGCAUUAUAAAUUAAGGAGGAAUAGUAACAAAGAGCUUGAAGACAUGCACAGCUCACAGGCCCCGGGUGGAGGCUGGCGACAUCAGACAGACAGAACCAAGACAUCUGAGGGGCAACCAGGAGGUGCGUGUGGCUGCAGAGCACACAGACUUGUCUUUGGACAAAAUUGAGAAGAACUCAUAAACUUGGCUUCCUCGCUUCUGCUCCUCAGACGCGCGUGGAUGAUUUGAAGAUAUUAGCCUAACAAGAUGGAAGCAGGUUUAAAAUUUUACAUAAGAAGUUACCUUUUUCAGCUGGUCCUAUAGUACCCCUCCUCAGGAAUGUCUCCCCAGUGCAAGGACAAAGACUGAAGAGACUGCUAUAUUGAUGGACUCUCAAGCCAACUAUGAAGUUGAAACAAAGAAAGUGAUCACCUGAAGACACCUCCUCUGCUAAGAAACACCCCCAAAUUGUGCAGCUUCUGCCACUAGAACUCUCAGAACAAGAGACAAUCUUUUCAAGAAACAGAAAAACUCAAUAAUGACAUCUAGAUUUUCAUGAGCCAAGAACUUUCCCUUCCUCAUGUGUAUUCCUCUGUUUGUACUUAAAUUCAUGUGACAUUCAUUUUUUUCCUAGUAUGGAUAUGCUUAUUAAUGCACUUGUUUCAAAAUCCCAAAUUGCACAAAUGUGUUAAUAUUUUAAGAAACAAAAUGAAUCCUACAAGGAGAAUGAUUUUUAGCCACACAUAGGGUUGGAUCUUGAGAGUGACCUACAGAAUAAAAGUACUUUUAAAAUAAAGUAGUCAGAGGCUAUUCAAAGGGUAAAAUAAUCAUAGUACCACAUUGGUCCACUUGACACUAACCAAUCGAUCAUUUUUUUUUAAUCAAGAAAGCUAGAUUCUAUCAGAUAAAAUCACUGCUUCUAAAGAGUUUAAAUCUAGUUAGAAAAAGUUAUAGAAAUGUUUGCAAAGAUAAGUAACAGAUAGAGUCAGUAGAGGAUAAGAUCAAAAACAAAACCAAGCAAAAGAUGAGUUCAGGGGAGUUUGCCAUCAAGUUGGCAAAACUGACUUACUUAGGGAAGAAAGUUAUAAAACAGGAAAAUAUGAGAUGAACCUUGAGUGAUGUGGAAGAUUUAGAUAAAUGGAAAGGAAGGAGAAAAUGGAGUUCUUUAGGUGGUUGUAAUUGGAGGAGGAAAUGAAUACACACAUCUUGUUGACUUAAACCCAGACAUUCAGCAGCUCUCUAUACAUAUCUGGAAAAGACUGCACAGUCACCUCCUGUCUCUCACCCCAGGUAUUACUUAGAAUUAUUAUCAUAUUUCCCUUCCUUUAAAGUAAGUAAGGGUGAUUGGUGACAAUAUGGAGAACUAUGAUUUUUCCAUUAACCUAAUAAUAAUUGGUAUUUAUUGAGUUCUGUUAAGCAUUUUACAUAUUAACUCACUUAAGCCUUUCAACAGCCUUGCAAAAUAGGUAUUAUUAUCCCCAUUUUACAGGCAAGAAAACUGAGGUUUAAGUAACUUGCCGAAGUGCCAUAUACAGGGCUCACAUUCAGUAUUGCAGUUGCAAAGCUCAUGAUCUAUAGUGCCAAGUUGCAAUAUUGUAGUCAAUGUCACAAUUAUUACCCCUUUUUAUAUUCCUUGAUAUUUUUCCAUGGCAAACAAUUAGCUAUUUCAUUUAAUAAUCACCUAAAACUUUUCAGUCUUCUGAUUAAAAUUACGCUGGAGUGAUAGAAUGUAUUUUCAUGAUAGAAAUUGGGAAAAAAAAUGGGGAAUGAAGUUUAUCAGCAUUUCAGACUUGUUUUUUUUUUUUUUUUUUGCAAGACUUUGAUGAGAUUGUUCACUUUUGUCUAUGUAAAAUCCCAAAUCCUUGAGAAUAAAAAAGGGGGAGGUUUAAGUCACUUGUUGCAAUGCCCUUUUUAAUAGAGGCAAUAAAUCUAAAGGCCAUAAAUUUAGAGUGACUUACAGAAGAUCGAACUUUGGAGUGUGGCAGAGUAAGGGAUGGAAACCGGGCCCUCCAGUUCACUAUCAGUAGCUUUUGCACUGGUCUGCCCUUCCUAAAUUAAGUAUGCACUUCAAUUUGAUGAGUGGAAACAGUCUAUCUGGGCAGUAACCAGGGAGCUUUGUGCCUAGUAGAUUGCUUCUGUUCUGCACUUCUUUGGUUUCCCACCUCAAUGUAAAAAAUAGCUAGCAAUGAAGUCCAGAAGUUGUCAAUGGUUCAUCCCCAGAAGAAUGCAUAAUGUCCAAAGUUGUAUGUGUAUGAUGUCUUCAAUGGUAUUAAGUUAUUUCAAAUUCUUAGUUCACCUACAUAAAUCAUUUCUAACAAGCAUCUUCUUAACCAACUUUAUGCACAGUGUAUGUUUGUAAGUGCUUCUGCACGAAUGUUUAUACAUGACUGUUUCCAUAGUACUUAUGUUUUUAAAAAUAUUCAGUCAUUUCCUACUAUAAUCCUCAUGUAUCCAUGUAACUGACUCAAAAAUACUUCAGCCACAGAAAGCUAAAACUGAGCAAAUCUCAUUCUUCUUUUCCAUCCCCUUUGCAUGUGGCUGGCAUUUAGUAAUGAUUAAUAAUAUGGCCAGCUGAAUAACAGAGGUUUGAGACACAAUUCUUUCUCAAAGGAGUCAGCUAAGCUGGGUCUACUUAUGGACAAACAUCUAAAUGUGUGGAAGUAUCUGAUAUUUGACAAUGGUAAAUUUCCACUUAGCUAGCUAGCAUUGUCAGACUUCAAUCUCCUCAUGGCUCUGGCCGUCCUGUUUUAAGCAUGAUAAUUGUUGGCCACAUCUCACAUAGUUCUCAUUGAGUGAGUUCAUAAAUAAACAGGGUUUUUUUUUUUUUUUAAAGAGCAGCCAAGCACAAAGUGUGACUUUGUUGACAUUUUAUGUGACUUUGUCAUA
This 3066-nucleotide long non-coding RNA is filed under the name Homo sapiens (human). Its description in RNAcentral is "HSALNT0365415". Lineage: Eukaryota; Metazoa; Chordata; Mammalia; Primates; Hominidae. The record is from RNAcentral.